AUGGGCGCAAGCCUGAUGCAGCAACGCCGCGUGAGGGAUGACGGCCUUCGGGUUGUAAACCUCUUUUAGUAGGGAAGAAGCGAAAGUGACGGUACCUGCAGAAAAAGCACCGGCUAACUACGUGCCAGCAGCCGCGGUAAUACGUAGGGUGCGAGCGUUGUCCGGAAUUAUUGGGCGUAAAGAGCUCGUAGGCGGUCUGUCGCGUCUGCUGUGAAAACCCGAGGCUCAACCUCGGGCCUGCAGUGGGUACGGGCAGACUAGAGUGCGGUAGGGGAGAAUGGAAUUCCUGGUGUAGCGGUGGAAUGCGCAGAUAUCAGGAGGAACACCGAUGGCGAAGGCAGUUCUCUGGGCCGUAACUGACGCUGAGGAGCGAAAGCGUGGGGAGCGAACAGGAUUAGAUACCCUGGUAGUCCACGCCGUAAACGUUGGGCGCUAGAUGUGGGGACCAUUCCACGGUUUCCGUGUCGCAGCUAACGCAUUAAGCGCCCCGCCUGGGGAGUACGGCCGCAAGGCUAAAACUCAAAGGAAUUGACGGGGGCCCGCACAAGCGGCGGAGCAUGCGGAUUAAUUCGAUGCAACGCGAAGAACCUUACCAAGGCUUGACAUACACGAGAACGCCCUAGAAAUAGGGAACUCUUUGGACACUCGUGAACAGGUGGUGCAUGGUUGUCGUCAGCUCGUGUCGUGAGAUGUUGGGUUAAGUCCCGCAACGAGCGCAACCCUCGUUCUAUGUUGCCAGCGCGUAAUGGCGGGAACUCAUAGGAGACUGCCGGGGUCAACUCGGAGGAAGGUGGGGAUGACGUCAAAUCAUCAUGCCCCUUAUGUCUUGGGCUUCACGCAUGCUACAAUGGCCGGUACAAAGGGCUGCAAUACCGUAAGGUGGAGCGAAUCCCAAAAAGCCGGUCUCAGUUCGGAUUGAGGUCUGCAACUCGACCUCAUGAAGUCGGAGUCGCUAGUAAUCGCAGAUCAGCAACGCUGCGGUGAAUACGUUCCCGGGCCUUGUACACACCGCCCGUCAAGUCAUGAAAGUCGGUAACACCCGAAGCCGGU
Molecule: ribosomal RNA, 1050 nt
Filed under: Leifsonia sp. CON39-35
Lineage: Bacteria; Bacillati; Actinomycetota; Actinomycetes; Micrococcales; Microbacteriaceae
Description: bacterial SSU rRNA
Rfam family: Bacterial small subunit ribosomal RNA
Source: RNAcentral